Molecule: ribosomal RNA, 253 nt
Filed under: uncultured bacterium
Lineage: Bacteria
Description: partial 16S ribosomal RNA
Rfam family: Bacterial small subunit ribosomal RNA
Source: RNAcentral
UACGUAGGGUGCAAGUGUUAAUCGGAAUUACUGGGCGUAAAGCGUGCGCAGGCGGUUAUGUAAGACAGGUGUGAAAUCCCCGGGCUUAACCUGGGAAUUGCAUUUGUGACUGCAUGGCUAGAGUGUGUCAGAGGGGGGUAGAAUUCCACGUGUAGCAGUGAAAUGCGUAGAUAUGUGGAGGAAUACCGAUGGCGAAGGCAGCCCCCUGGGAUAACACUGACGCUCAUGCACGAAAGCGUGGGGAGCAAACAGG